RNAcentral lists this ribosomal RNA (333 nucleotides) under uncultured eukaryote. Its description in RNAcentral is "partial 18S ribosomal RNA". It matches the Rfam family "Eukaryotic small subunit ribosomal RNA", at positions 1470 to 1796 of the family's 1831-position model. The record is from RNAcentral.
CCCUUAGAUGUUCUGGGCUGCACGCGCGCUACACUGAUGCGCUCAACGAGUUUACGACCUUGCCCGGAAGGGUUGGGUAAUCUUUUUAAAACGCAUCGUGAUGGGGAUAGAUUAUUGCAAUUAUUAAUCUUUAACGAGGAAUUCCUAGUAAGCGCGAGUCAUAAGCUCGCGUUGAUUACGUCCCUGCCCUUUGUACACACCGCCCGUCGCUACUACCGAUUGAACGGUUUAGUGAGGGCCUCGGAUUGGUCUCGGCCCGCUCUUUACCGGGCGGCGCCGUUGGUCGAGAAGACGCUCGAACUUGAUCGUUUAGAGGAAGUAAAAGUCGUAACA